Molecule: non-coding RNA, 236 nt
Organism: Pelobates cultripes (western spadefoot toad)
Lineage: Eukaryota; Metazoa; Chordata; Amphibia; Anura; Pelobatidae
Source: the annotation of a GenBank genome assembly
GCGACGUUUUGUUUUGCUUUGCAUGUCCCUUAAUGUAGUUUUUCGUGCGCGUCACGUGCCCGGGUAUUUGAACGAGGUGGCUGAUGCUCUGUCUCGUUUUCAGUGGUCCCGGUUUCGGUUGGCGGCUCCGGAGGCUCAGGAGACCGGGCAGGCGUGCCCGGACGAGAUGUGGCAGCUCGGAGCAUCAUGCUUGGGGGACUUGUGAGGGCUUCGCUGGCACCUGCCACAUGGACCGC